AAGAGCUCGUAGGUGGUUUGUCGCGUUGUUCGUGAAAUCUCACGGCUUAACUGUGAGCGUGCGGGCGAUACGGGCAGACUUGAGUACUGCAGGGGAGACUGGAAUUCCUGGUGUAGCGGUGGAAUGCGCAGAUAUCAGGAGGAACACCGGUGGCGAAGGCGGGUCUCUGGGCAGUAACUGACGCUGAGGAGCGAAAGCGUGGGGAGCGAACAGGAUUAGAUACCCUGGUAGUCCACGCCGUAAACGGUGGGUACUAGGUGUGGGUUUCCUUCCUUGGGAUCCGUGCCGUAGCUAACGCAUUAAGUACCCCGCCUGGGGAGUACGGCCGCAAGGCUAAAACUCAAAGAAAUUGACGGGGGCCCGCACAAGCGGCGGAGCAUGUGGAUUAAUUCGAUGCAACGCGAAGAACCUUACCUGGGUUUGACAUGCACAGGACGCCGGCAGAGAUGUCGGUUCCCUUGUGGCCUGUGUGCAGGUGGUGCAUGGCUGUCGUCAGCUCGUGUCGUGAGAUGUUGGGUUAAGUCCCGCAACGAGCGCAACCCUUGUCUCAUGUUGCCAGCGGGUAAUGCCGGGGACUCGUGAGAGACUGCCGGGGUCAACUCGGAGGAAGGUGGGGAUGACGUCAAGUCAUCAUGCCCCUUAUGUCCAGGGCUUCACACAUGCUACAAUGGCCGGUACAAAGGGCUGCGAUGCCGCGAGGUUAAGCGAAUCCUUUUAAAGCCGGUCUCAGUUCGGAUCGGGGUCUGCAACUCGACCCCGUGAAGUCGGAGUCGCUA
This 776-nucleotide ribosomal RNA is filed under the name uncultured bacterium. RNAcentral describes it as "bacterial SSU rRNA". It matches the Rfam family "Bacterial small subunit ribosomal RNA", at positions 563 to 1337 of the family's 1533-position model. The record is from RNAcentral.